RNAcentral lists this ribosomal RNA (421 nucleotides) under uncultured eukaryote. RNAcentral's name for it is "SSU rRNA". It matches the Rfam family "Eukaryotic small subunit ribosomal RNA", at positions 592 to 1018 of the family's 1831-position model. The record is from RNAcentral.
CAAUAGCGUAUAUUUAAGUUGUUGCAGUUAAAAAGCUCGUAGUUGGAUUUCGGGUGGGGACAGCCGGUCCGCCGUUAUGGUGUGCACUGAUUGGUCCCAUCUUCUUGCCGGGGACGCAGUUCUGGCCUUAAUUGGCUGGGGUGCGGAGUCGGCGAUGUUACUUUGAAAAAUUAGAGUGUUCAAAGCAAGCUCACGCUCUGAAUACAUUAGCAUGGAAUAACACGAUAGGACUCCGGUCCUAUUUUGUUGGUCUUCGGGAUCGGGGUAAUGAUUAAGAGGGACAGUUGGGGGCAUUCGUAUUUCAUUGUCAGAGGUGAAAUUCUUGGAUUUAUGAAAGACGAACUUCUGCGAAAGCAUUUGCCAAGGAUGUUUUCAUUAAUCAAGAACGAAAGUUGGGGGCUCGAAGACGAUUAGAUACCAU